RNAcentral lists this transfer RNA (65 nucleotides) under Dixella aestivalis. RNAcentral describes it as "tRNA-Arg". Lineage: Eukaryota; Metazoa; Arthropoda; Insecta; Diptera; Dixidae. The record is from RNAcentral.
GAAUAUGAAGUGAUAAAUUACGAUUAGUUUCGACCUAAUAUUAGGUAUACCCAUACCCUUAUUCU